This 500-nucleotide ribosomal RNA is filed under the name uncultured bacterium. Its description in RNAcentral is "bacterial SSU rRNA". It matches the Rfam family "Bacterial small subunit ribosomal RNA", at positions 30 to 526 of the family's 1533-position model. The record is from RNAcentral.
AUUGAACGCUGGCGGCAGGCUUAACACAUGCAAGUCGAGCGGUAGAGUCCUUCGGGGCUUGAGAGCGGCGGACGGGUGAGUAAUACAUAGGAAUCUGCCUGUUAGUGGGGGAUAGCCCGGGGAAACCCGGAUUAAUACCGCAUACGCCCUACGGGGGAAAGGAGGGGAUCUUCGGACCUUCCGCUAACAGAUGAGCCUAUGUCGGAUUAGCUUGUUGGUGAGGUAAAGGCUCACCAAGGCGACGAUCCGUAACUGGUCUGAGAGGAUGAUCAGUCACACUGGAACUGAGACACGGUCCAGACUCCUACGGGAGGCAGCAGUGGGGAAUAUUGGACAAUGGGGGCAACCCUGAUCCAGCCAUGCCGCGUGUGCGAUGAAGGCUUUCGGGUUGUAAAGCACUUUCAGUCGGGAGGAAAGGGCGCAGGCUAAUACCCUGUGUAGUUGACGUUACCGACAGAAGAAGCACCGGCAAACUCCGUGCCAGCAGCCGCGGUAAUGUC